UUUACUAGUACUUGCUUCUAUGAGUGAGUGUUCAGUAAACUUCAAAAACACAUCGCUGUUAAAUAAGUAUUGUCUAAUUAACAAUAUCUGUUUUGCAAACACGUGCUGUCUCCCUGCCAUGGUGUAUCUGUUCCACUUCUUAAAACUACCCCUCUCCUGCGCACGUCAUGUAACGGGAGGACUUCCAUAGCAACCACUGAAGCAGGCUUCCUGUUAACCAAAACGCUGAUUUAAGACUUACAGCAACUUUGGAGUAAAACGGAACCUUGGAGUUUGUUUUGGGUUACAUAAAACAGCGGUCAAAGGAGGAGUGUUGCCUGAGGUGAACCGGUGUACCCAAUGCUGCCCUUUGUACCACUGUCCAUUGUGCCAGCCAAGCAAAUAUAAACCUAAUAAAUGCCACCAUUUGAAAAAGCACUUGGAUGUCCAUCUAAAGGGUGCAGUGCAGUGUGAUGAAUAUGCAAUCUGUAAGUGUGAGCUACCUUGCAGGCAAACGUCUCAUUUUCACUACAUCAAAUGUUCUAAAAUACUCCUAGAAAAAAGGAAUUUCAUCAGAGAUGUCCAACUCUGCCAGGAUAGUCGAUUGCUGCUUCAAAGGGGAAAUAUGUAUUUUGUGCAGACGGUUAUGUUGUGCCAACAUGGCUGCCCCUCAGCUUCCUGAUGAUGUAGCAUCGAAGGACUUUAUCAUGCUGCCCGCCAAGACAUGCCUUCCAUACAAAAGUGGUGGUGUUUGCUGUUAGUGGAAAACUUCAGUCUCGGGAGUACUUCUGACAAGAAAGCAGGACUUCAAUCAAAACAGAUAAAUAAGUGCUCUGAAAUAAUACAAAAAAAAAAAACCUUCAGACAACUGUGAAUGAAUGACUGUGUUAACAUCUACUUUGUCAGGGGUGCAUAAUUCUGGGACAAGAAGGUUUUCAUUUUUUGGUCUCCCUGAACCCUUCAUUAACUGAUUUGAAUUAACUUGUUUAAUUGGACAAGCUUAACCCUUUUUAUUUGCUCUUAAGCAACUGGAGAUUUACAGACAGCUUCAAAAACCUGCUGGACUGACCUUGACUCUAGAGGAGCAGAAUUGUGCACCAAUAAAUGUAUAUAUUAUACUUGAUGUGAGAUUUUGACAAUUUAAUGUUUAUGGAAAAUGGUCAGUCCAAAUGUUUA
This is a long non-coding RNA of Polyodon spathula (Mississippi paddlefish), 1155 nucleotides long. RefSeq lists it as uncharacterized. The transcript is spliced from 8 exons. NCBI's taxonomy places the organism in Eukaryota, Metazoa, Chordata, Actinopteri, Acipenseriformes, Polyodontidae. The record is from RefSeq and is a predicted model, not a curated record.